RNAcentral lists this ribosomal RNA (467 nucleotides) under uncultured Acidimicrobiales bacterium. RNAcentral describes it as "bacterial SSU rRNA". It matches the Rfam family "Bacterial small subunit ribosomal RNA", at positions 28 to 505 of the family's 1533-position model. Lineage: Bacteria; Bacillati; Actinomycetota; Acidimicrobiia; Acidimicrobiales. The record is from RNAcentral.
GACGAACGCUGGCGGCGUGCUUAAUACAUGCAAGUCGAACGAAGUCCUAUCGGUGGCAACACCGAGAACGACUUAGUGGCGAACGGGUGAGUAACACGUGAGAAAUCUGCCCCGAAGACUGGGAUAACCACGGGAAACUGUGGCUAAUACCGGAUGGUCUCUUCUGAUCGCAUGGUCGGAUGAGUAAAUGGAUUCCGCUUCGGGAGGAUCUCGCGGCCUAUCAGCUAGUUGGUGGGGUAAUGGCCCACCAAGGCAUCGACGGGUAGCUGGUCUGAGAGGACGAUCAGCCACACUGGGACUGAGACACGGCCCAGACUCCUACGGGAGGCAGCAGUAGGGAAUCUUGCGCAAUGGGCGAAAGCCUGACGCAGCAACGCCGCGUGGGGGAUGAAGGCUCUCGGGUCGUAAACCCCUUUCAGCAGGGACGAAAUUGACGGUACCUGCAGAAGAAGCCCCGGCCAACUACG